This 565-nucleotide ribosomal RNA is filed under the name Salmonella enterica. RNAcentral's name for it is "partial 23S ribosomal RNA". It matches the Rfam family "Bacterial large subunit ribosomal RNA", at positions 711 to 1273 of the family's 2925-position model. Lineage: Bacteria; Pseudomonadati; Pseudomonadota; Gammaproteobacteria; Enterobacterales; Enterobacteriaceae. The record is from RNAcentral.
AGACCCGAAACCCGGUGAUCUAGCCAUGGGCAGGUUGAAGGUUGGGUAACACUAACUGGAGGACCGAACCGACUAAUGUUGAAAAAUUAGCGGAUGACCUGUGGCUGGGGGUGAAAGGCCAAUCAAACCGGGAGAUAGCUGGUUCUCCCCGAAAGCUAUUUAGGUAGCGCCUCGUGAAUUCAUCUCCGGGGGUAGAGCACUGUUUCGGCUAGGGGGCCAUCCCGGCUUACCAACCCGAUGCAAACUGCGAAUACCGGAGAAUGUUAUCACGGGAGACACACGGCGGGUGCUAACGUCCGUCGUGAAGAGGGAAACAACCCAGACCGCCAGCUAAGGUCCCAAAGUCAUGGUUAAGUGGGAAACGAUGUGGGAAGGCCCAGACAGCCAGGAUGUUGGCUUAGAAGCAGCCAUCAUUUAAAGAAAGCGUAAUAGCUCACUGGUCGAGUCGGCCUGCGCGGAAGAUGUAACGGGGCUAAACCAUGCACCGAAGCUGCGGCAGCGACACUGUGUGUUGUUGGGUAGGGGAGCGUUCUGUAAGCCUGCGAAGGUGUGUCGUGAGGCAUGC